RNAcentral lists this long non-coding RNA (290 nucleotides) under Olea europaea (common olive). RNAcentral's name for it is "long non-coding RNA (OEUR_LNC009341)". Lineage: Eukaryota; Viridiplantae; Streptophyta; Magnoliopsida; Lamiales; Oleaceae. The record is from RNAcentral.
UUUUCGACUCCCUAUCAACUAGUUCUUCGUAACUAGCGUAUGCAAAAUCCAAUUCAGAUUCAUACCCGAACCUCCUAGGUUCUCUCGUUUGUCUUCUCUCUCUAUCUCUAACUAAAUUAUAGUUAGCUAAUGGAUUUUCUUCCUCAGGAUGCUCUUCUAUCACUACUUCAUUUUCCUCUUCAGGUUCUUGGACCUGAAUCUCCAUCUCACUCGAAGUACUAGGUACUGAUGUGUUAAAUUUUCCUAACUCCACCUUAAACCGAUUUCUUUCUUCACCUGAUUCAGUUUCA